This 2422-nucleotide unclassified non-coding RNA is filed under the name Portunus trituberculatus (swimming crab). Its description in RNAcentral is "v-type proton ATPase 16 kDa proteolipid subunit, transcript variant X1". The record is from RNAcentral. Lineage: Eukaryota; Metazoa; Arthropoda; Malacostraca; Decapoda; Portunidae.
ACUCCUCGUCACUUGAGCCGCUGACGUCACCUGGGAAGGACGCACGCACCUCUCUCUCCUGCCAACUCCCUAAAACUCCUUCUAAACCUUCCAAAAUGAGUGCAGAGAAUCCGAUUUACUCCCCCUUCUUCGGCGUGAUGGGGGCCGCCUCAGCCAUCAUCUUCAGCUCACUGGGGGCCGCCUACGGGACAGCCAAGUCCGGCGUGGGUAUUGCAGCCAUGUCUGUGAUGCGGCCAGAGCUCAUCAUGAAGUGUAUCAUCCCCGUGGUCAUGGCUGGUAUCAUUGCCAUUUACGGCCUGGUGGUGGCGGUGCUGUUGGCCGGCAAGCUGGACGCGGCUGAUGCUGGUUACUCCCUCUACUAUGGUUUUGUUCACCUGGGUGCUGGCCUGUCUGUGGGUCUUUCUGGUCUGGCCGCUGGGUUCGCUAUUGGAAUCGUUGGUGACGCUGGUGUGAGAGGAACCGCCCAGCAGCCUCGUCUCUUCGUGGGCAUGAUCCUUAUCCUUAUCUUCGCUGAGGUGCUGGGUCUGUACGGCCUCAUCGUGGCCAUCUACCUCUACACAAAGACCUCCUCGUAAGUAGUGAGGCCAGCCAGGGCGCCUCCUCUCCUCCUGAGGCCCCUGUUCCCUCUCCAGAAGCAGCCACACACACACACACACACACACACACACACAGCCAGCCAGCCAACCAGCAAGAUCAGUUUGGCGGCUCGUUUAUUUUAGCCAAGUGAAAACGUGCGGCUCUCCCUGCCCCUCCUUGUCCAUUCCCCACGUGACGUCAGUUAUUGAUGUGAAUAUUUUACUGUUAUAAAUAACAUAUACAUAGAUAUAUAUAAAUAUAUUUAAUCAUUCGUGGUGUGCGGAGAGAGACCAUCGCAUUAUUUUCUGGGGCCUUUAUUUGCCAAGCCAGAACGCGGCUAACCUGUGUAUGUAUAAAUGUAUAAAUUGUGAUGCUACCUUUUCUGUCCUUCCUCUACUUUUUCUCUCUUCCUUUCCCCACUACCACCUCCAAAUUCUCUUCCCCAUAACCUCCUAUUACCACCACCACCACCACUGCUGCCGCUGCUGCUGCUCUAGUUUGCCGCAAAUCAAACAGCCCAGCGAGGCCCCUUCCCCCACUGACCCACCCUGACGUUUGCAUCUCAUUUCAAGGCUGUUAAGUUGUCUUCCUGUGUGUGGCGAAGCGGGCCGGUAACCUCCCAUGACAUUUUGGGCAAUUCUACGCCAGAAUUCCUCAGGGUGACAGAUCUACCACCCUGGUUAGCUCCCUGGUGUUUUUUUUUUCCCCCAUUAGGCAAGUGUAGAUUGAACAAUCAGACAGAUAAUUAUAAUGUAAUCAGCGCAAAGAUAAAAUGCACAAAAAUAUCCAGAUCUCCUCUCCCAUCAACCCCUCCUUCCCUCAGCCCCUCAAUUGAUCACUGGCAGAUAUUUAUGGGGAUGGCUGGCACACACACACACACACACCUGCAGGACACCUCAUGGUUGUGUCACAUAUGUUUUAGCCCCACACAGACUGGGAAAGCCUUAGACCAGCUGGCAAUACAUAGAAUGGGGCAUGUCCUGCAUUACCUGUGUGUACAUGUGCCUGAAACAUACACACUCGUACGUACAUCCCUGCACACCUAGAUAAAGACACUACAACUCUAUCUGCAAGGUAUAUGAUUUAGAAUAUGUAGUGCAGAACAAGCCAGCGUCCGUAAGUGAUUCUUAGCGAAGAAGUGUUUACUAUAUGGGUUUGUUGAUAGUGUUGCCAUAGACCCAUAGAGGGUGUGUAGGAAAGGUUAGGGAGAGAAAGAGAGCGGUGAUAAUAAUGAGUGAUAAUGUGUGGCAGAGAUCCACCCACUGGCCCUUUGCUGGAGUACAUGGCAAGACAUCAGUGGUCUUUAUUUAUUAGCGUGUGGUCCUGCCUGGUCUAUUGCAGCCUCGGCACACCACCACCACCACCAGGCAGGCCAGCCGGUCAGACUAGCCAUUUGUGAUGAUUGUUGGUGAUUCAGUAGUUAUCUUUAGUGGGAAGUCUGCAACUACCUUGUAUAUUUUAUCCCUAAUCAUAUAUAUUUUUUCUCCUUUAGUUAGGUAUAGGAUACUGUUGGGAAUAAAAAUGAAUUACCGCAGCUGAAACUUAGGAAAAUUUAACAUUCCGUAUGUAUGUGGCAUGCACGUGGCCCCGGUGUGUGGCAUGUCAGGCCGUGUGUCGUGUCAUAUCCCUGGCAAGACACGACUCUGUGCUGUGUGUUGCCAGAGGAAUGGCGUGGCCUGCGGGAGACGUGCCGAUGCCGGGGCAACACAGCGUGCAGUGUGCCGUGCUUUCCAUCUCCCUGUCCUGUGGAUGGCCCUGGUUGUCAAUUGUUACAAGGUGUGUGCUCUGUAUAAAUGGUAUUGAAUAUGUAAUGGUAUAUUGUUAAUAAAAAAGUUGUACUCGGUAA